RNAcentral lists this long non-coding RNA (245 nucleotides) under Pan troglodytes (chimpanzee). RNAcentral describes it as "long non-coding RNA NONPTRT004463". The record is from RNAcentral. Lineage: Eukaryota; Metazoa; Chordata; Mammalia; Primates; Hominidae.
CUCUUUUCCUCUUUAUUACAGACUGCCAUUUUUAUUCCUAUCUGAUUUUGGUGCAAUGAAGUUGAGUUUUGAGGAUUUGCAACCUUUAAAAUGAGGAGCUAGGGAAAAAAAGGACAAGGGCAUAUGACUAUAAAUGUUGUACCAAACACUGAACUAGAUACACAGAUGAGUAACAUAAGGUAGUGUCCUUGUCCUAAUGGUACUUGCUCGGAUAGUGGUGGGAGCUAGCAAAUAACCAUACAAAC